Molecule: small RNA, 138 nt
Filed under: bovine gut metagenome
Description: Ribosomal protein L10 leader
Rfam family: Ribosomal protein L10 leader
About the family: This family is a putative r-protein leader autoregulatory structure found in B. subtilis and other low-GC Gram-positive bacteria. It is located in the 5' untranslated regions of mRNAs encoding ribosomal proteins L10 and L12 (rplJ-rplL).
Source: RNAcentral
UAUCAAGCAUGUUGCCGAAGACAGUAGGUGCCAAGUGAUAUAAUCACAGGCGUAAUUCUUGUAAGACCCUACCGAGGAACAAAGAAUUAUUUUGAUUCUCUACCUCUCUGUCUUUGUGGCAGAGAGGUUUUUAUGUGU